Molecule: ribosomal RNA, 492 nt
Filed under: uncultured bacterium
Lineage: Bacteria
Description: partial 16S ribosomal RNA
Rfam family: Bacterial small subunit ribosomal RNA
Source: RNAcentral
AUUGAACGCUGGCGGCACGCUUUACACAUGCAAGUCGAACGGUAACAGGCCUUCGGGUGCUGACGAGUGGCGAACGGGUGAGUAAUGCAUCGGAACGUACCCAGAGGUGGGGGAUAACGCAGCGAAAGCUGUGCUAAUACUGCAUGUGAUCUGAGGAUGAAAGCGGGGGACCGAGCAGCAAUGUUUGGCCUCGCGCCUUUGGAGCGGCCGAUGUCGGAUUAGCUAGUUGGUGGGGUAAAGGCCUACCAAGGCGACGAUCCGUAGCUGGUCUGAGAGGACGACCAGCCACACUGGGACUGAGACACGGCCCAGACUCCUACGGGAGGCAGCAGUGGGGAAUUUUGGACAAUGGGCGCAAGCCUGAUCCAGCAAUGCCGCGUGCGGGAAGAAGGCCUUCGGGUUGUAAACCGCUUUUGGCAGGAACGAAACGGUGUCCGCUAAUACCGGGCGCUAAUGACGGUACCUGCAGAAUAAGCACCGGCUAACUACGUG